UACGAAGGGGGCUAGCGUUGUUCGGAAUCACUGGGCGUAAAGGGCGCGUAGGCGGGCUCUUAAGUCAGGGGUGAAAGCCCAAGGCUCAACCUUGGAAUUGCCUUUGAUACUGGCUGUCUUGAGUUCGGGAGAGGUGAGUGGAAUGCCGAGUGUAGAGGUGAAAUUCGUAGAUAUUCGGCGGAACACCUGUGGCGAAAGCGGCGCACUGGACCACAACUGACGCUGAGGCGCGAAAGCUAGGGGAGCAAACAGG
Molecule: ribosomal RNA, 253 nt
Filed under: uncultured bacterium
Lineage: Bacteria
Description: partial 16S ribosomal RNA
Rfam family: Bacterial small subunit ribosomal RNA
Source: RNAcentral